This 1337-nucleotide ribosomal RNA is filed under the name uncultured bacterium. RNAcentral's name for it is "bacterial SSU rRNA". It matches the Rfam family "Bacterial small subunit ribosomal RNA", at positions 28 to 1387 of the family's 1533-position model. The record is from RNAcentral.
GACGAGCGCUGGCGGCGCGCCUAACACAUGCAAGUCGAACGAGCGAGAGAGAGCUUGCUUUCUCGAGCGAGUGGCGAACGGGUGAGUAACGCGUGAGGAACCUGCCUCAAAGAGGGGGACAACAGUUGGAAACGACUGCUAAUACCGCAUAAGCCCACGGGUCGGCAUCGACCAGAGGGAAAAGGAGCAAUCCGCUUUGAGAUGGCCUCGCGUCCGAUUAGCUAGUUGGUGAGGUAAUGGCCCACCAAGGCGACGAUCGGUAGCCGGACUGAGAGGUUGAACGGCCACAUUGGGACUGAGACACGGCCCAGACUCCUACGGGAGGCAGCAGUGGGGAAUAUUGCACAAUGGGGGAAACCCUGAUGCAGCGACGCCGCGUGGAGGAAGAAGGUCUUCGGAUUGUAAACUCCUGUUGUUGAGGAAGAUAAUGACGGUACUCAACAAGGAAGUGACGGCUAACUACGUGCCAGCAGCCGCGGUAAAACGUAGGUCACAAGCGUUGUCCGGAAUUACUGGGUGUAAAGGGAGCGCAGGCGGGAAGACAAGUUGGAAGUGAAAUCUAUGGGCUCAACCAUAAACUGCUUUCAAAACUGUUUUUCUUGAGUAGUGCAGAGGUAGGCGGAAUUCCCGGUGUAGCGGUGGAAUGCGUAGAUAUCGGGAGGAACACCAGUGGCGAAGGCGGCCUACUGGGCACCAACUGACGCUGAGGCUCGAAAGUGUGGGUAGCAAACAGGAUUAGAUACCCUGGUAGUCUACACCGUAAACGAUGAUUACUAGGUGUUGGAGGAUUGACCCCUUCAGUGCCGCAGUUAACACAAUAAGUAAUCCACCUGGGGAGUACGACCGCAAGGUUGAAACUCAAAGGAAUUGACGGGGGCCCGCACAAGCAGUGGAGUAUGUGGUUUAAUUCGACGCAACGCGAAGAACCUUACCAAGUCUUGACAUCCCUUGACGAACAUAGAAAUAUGUUUUCUCUUCGGAGCAAGGAGACAGGUGGUGCAUGGUUGUCGUCAGCUCGUGUCGUGAGAUGUUGGGUUAAGUCCCGCAACGAGCGCAACCCUUACUGUCAGUUACUACGCAAGAGGACUCUGGCAGGACUGCCGUUGACAAAACGGAGGAAGGUGGGGAUGACGUCAAAUCAUCAUGCCCUUUAUGACUUGGGCUACACACGUACUACAAUGGCGUUAAACAAAGAGAAGCAAGACCGCGAGGUGGAGCAAAACUCAGAAACAACGUCCCAGUUCGGACUGCAGGCUGCAACUCGCCUGCACGAAGUCGGAAUUGCUAGUAAUCGUGGAUCAGCAUGCCACGGUGAAUACGUUCCCGGGCCUUGCACU